Gorilla gorilla gorilla (western lowland gorilla) is the source of this 153-nucleotide long non-coding RNA. RefSeq lists it as uncharacterized. The transcript is spliced from 3 exons. Lineage: Eukaryota; Metazoa; Chordata; Mammalia; Primates; Hominidae. The record is from RefSeq and is a predicted model, not a curated record.
UUCAAAGAUUCACAGCAGGACACAUGGAAUCCAGGAUAGACUACAUUUCCCAGUCUUCAUUGCUGGUCUAUUAUCUUACAUUGUGAGCAUCACACUUUGCUGAGUGUUUAAAGAGAGAAAUGGAAGGAACUGUGUAGUGAACACCCAUAUGCC